This 874-nucleotide unclassified non-coding RNA is filed under the name uncultured Synechococcus sp. RNAcentral's name for it is "partial may contain 16S ribosomal RNA, 16S-23S ribosomal RNA intergenic spacer, and 23S ribosomal RNA". The stretch from base 346 to 418 matches the Rfam family "tRNA". The record is from RNAcentral. Lineage: Bacteria; Bacillati; Cyanobacteriota; Cyanophyceae; Synechococcales; Synechococcaceae.
GUCGAAGGUGGGGCUGAUGACUGGGGUGAAGUCGUAACAAGGUAUCCGUACCGGAAGGUGCGGAUGGAUCACCUCCUAACAGGGAGACAAAACAAUGAUUUUGAUGUCUGAGUAUUUUAUUCUUAGGCCGAAAUCCUGUCACCUUAGGUCGAUCGGUACCUCAACAUUUUUCCAAAGAUUGGUGAGCAAUCAUCAAGAGAUUGGAAGUGAUGUUCAGUUCCUAAACUUUGUCUAGGUCACACCCCGUAAGGGAAGAGUCCCCUGGGCCAUUAGCUCAGGUGGUUAGAGCGCACCCCUGAUAAGGGUGAGGUCCCUGGUUCAAGUCCAGGAUGGCCCAUCGAUGUUGGGGGUUUAGCUCAGUUGGUAGAGCGCCUGCUUUGCAAGCAGGAUGUCAGGAGUUCGAGUCUCCUAACCUCCACUGACAGAACUCAAUCUCCAUUGUCCGGUAACUCGGAGGAUGAACUCGAUGGCGUGUGAUUUAGAUGUGUCCACUAGAUAGGACCCUAGCUUCCUGUCAUUCCGAACAAGUAAUUAUUGCUUGAUUGGUUGAUAUGAUGCUGGGCUCAGAUUAAUCGAAAGGUUAAUUUGAUCUCUAGUAGAACCUUGACAACUGCAUAAGUAAGUCUGGAAAAACGAAGCAUCUUACAGAUGCAUUGUUUUAAGUCUGAAUUCUCGAAAGAGAGUUUAGAUCUAGAAUGAUGAAAAUUCUUUUAAGCAAGAGCCGAGACUCUUAAAUGUUCUUUUUAUCGUGUCGAGCGAUAAGGAGUUUGAUUUUGUUUUUAUGAGCAGCGAAAGUUGUUAAUGAAACCAGAAGAAUCUGCUUUCAACCGCAGUAAGCGUUUAAGAGGUUAAUUGGUCAAGCUACAAAGGGCUC